Pelobates cultripes (western spadefoot toad) is the source of this 478-nucleotide non-coding RNA. The record is from the annotation of a GenBank genome assembly. NCBI's taxonomy places the organism in Eukaryota, Metazoa, Chordata, Amphibia, Anura, Pelobatidae.
CAAGGAGAGCACAACACUUUUUAUACACAUCUUCUAAUAAGUUUUGAUCACUUGUAAUAUUUAUAUUUUUUUAAAAAAAAACUGAUCUGAGACUCAAGGUAGGACUAUUGAACCUGCAUUACUGUAUUUGAAUUUGCAUUCUAAACCGCAUAUUCACAUACUUUUAGCACUUAUGAUAAAAUUGCUUAUGAGGUUUCCAUUUAAAAAAAAAAAAAUCUAACUAUCAGAACACAAAGUCAAACAUAUGAAGAAACUGGUCUGUAUGUGAUUAUGUCACAUACAAUGCAUUAUGCUCUUUCAGUAGCUCCAUAGUGGGCAUGAUAUCAACCCAGCCUAUUUCUCUGCUCUCCAGAAAGUACAUUUAUUCAGCAGAGCUUUAAGAGCUGCUAGGGAAUUCUGGUGGAGCAAUAUUUUCCUUGUUGUUUGUGCCACUAAUUAGAAAGUGUUAAAGAGAAAGGAACAAUAUGCAUGUAUUAGA